CACAUUGAAACAUUGGUUCCCGUACGAUCAUCGAAGUUAAGCAACGUCGAGCCUGGUCAGUACCUAGAUGGUGACCAUUUAGGAAUACGUGGUGCUGUAC
Acanthosepion pharaonis is the source of this 100-nucleotide non-coding RNA. Lineage: Eukaryota; Metazoa; Mollusca; Cephalopoda; Sepiida; Sepiidae. The record is from the annotation of a GenBank genome assembly.